This 107-nucleotide small nucleolar RNA is filed under the name Gossypium raimondii (Peruvian cotton). Its description in RNAcentral is "snoRNA LOC128040282". It matches the Rfam family "Plant small nucleolar RNA R71". Rfam says of the family: R71 is a member of the C/D box family of snoRNAs containing the C (UGAUGA) and D (CUGA) box motifs. Multiple nearly identical copies of this snoRNA have been identified in Arabidopsis, and it is thought to function as a 2'-O-ribose methylation guide for 18S ribosomal RNA. The record is from Rfam by way of RNAcentral. Lineage: Eukaryota; Viridiplantae; Streptophyta; Magnoliopsida; Malvales; Malvaceae.
AUUCCGUGAUGAGGGCACUUCCAUCAUAAUUAUUUGUACCUUUCCCAUGCCUCAUACAAUGACUUGUCAUCCAUUUGUUGGAAAGCAGUGAUCUUGUUCCUCAACUU